This is a non-coding RNA of Pimephales promelas (fathead minnow), 631 nucleotides long. Lineage: Eukaryota; Metazoa; Chordata; Actinopteri; Cypriniformes; Leuciscidae. The record is from RefSeq and is a predicted model, not a curated record.
AAGAUAAGCAGGAGAAUGGGAGGGGAAUUGGGAAGUAACUACCAAUCCCAGUACAGAUUGCCUAUAGGAUGGUCCAAUUUAAAGGACAGGCAACAUGGAAGGGCAGCCGGGGUCCUUGCAGCAUCAGUUAGCCGUUUGGCUAGUAGCGUGUGGGACUGGGUGUCCUGUGAUGUACUCUUCCUCGAUGGAAGGUAAACCUGUUUUUUUGUUGUAUUACUGCAAUGGAUGUUUUUAUUGUGUUGAUGCAGUCACUAACUAUAGAUUUAAUAAUUCUUUUAGAUGAAUCAGUGGUAUUUGAAUCCAUUAUGUGUCAUGUGGGCAUGAGGUGGUAAUUGUGUUAAUAGGGAUAUUUUACUAUGUUUUAGAACUGUUUGCCUGAUGGAAUAAAUUCAGGACCAUCAUGUUUUUUGUCUGAUUGUGCACCUUAAAGGUAUGGUUAUUCAUUUUGAGUUUGUUUGUUUGUUUGUGAUGUGGAUGGGACUGACACUCAUGAAAAAUACUCAAUUUUUAGAACUGUUUGCCUAAUGGAAUAAAUUCAAGACCAUCAUGUAUUUUUCCGGUUGUGCACCUUCAAGGGUGUUGGAUGUUGAUUGCUAGUCGCUGUUCUCUUAUAUGGUUUUUUGUUUAUUUU